This 346-nucleotide ribosomal RNA is filed under the name uncultured Pseudomonadota bacterium. RNAcentral describes it as "bacterial SSU rRNA". It matches the Rfam family "Bacterial small subunit ribosomal RNA", at positions 30 to 374 of the family's 1533-position model. Lineage: Bacteria; Pseudomonadati; Pseudomonadota. The record is from RNAcentral.
AUUGAACGCUGGCGGCAUGCCUAACACAUGCAAGUCGAACGGUAACGCGGGGGCAACCCUGGCGACGAGUGGCGGACGGGUGAGUAAUACGUAGGAAUCUGCCCAUUUGUGGGGGAUAACCCGGCGAAAGCCGGGCUAAUACCGCAUACGCUCUACGGAGGAAAGCAGGGGAUCGUAAGACCUUGCGCUAAUGGAUGAGCCUACGUCGGAUUAGCUAGUUGGUAGGGUAACGGCCUACCAAGGCGACGAUCCGUAGCUGGUCUGAGAGGACGAUCAGCCACACUGGGACUGAGACACGGCCCAGACUCCUACGGGUGGCUGCCUGAGAAGGCACACAGGGGAUAGG